This 30-nucleotide non-coding RNA is filed under the name Rattus norvegicus (Norway rat). Lineage: Eukaryota; Metazoa; Chordata; Mammalia; Rodentia; Muridae. The record is from RNAcentral.
UGUCCCAAGGACCCAAGUGUUUAGAGGUGU